RNAcentral lists this long non-coding RNA (312 nucleotides) under Elaeis guineensis (African oil palm). RNAcentral's name for it is "long non-coding RNA (EGUI_LNC046896)". The record is from RNAcentral. Lineage: Eukaryota; Viridiplantae; Streptophyta; Magnoliopsida; Arecales; Arecaceae.
GUCGGUUCAUCUUCUGGAGCCUUUGAUCCAGGAGGUCCUCUCGGCUGUGCGUCUCAAGGGUCUUCUGGCAGAAUGGAGGUAGGGUUCCUCUGGGAGUAGAAUCAUGAUCAGACUGAGGGCUCUCCACCCUCGGAUUCCCCUUUCUGGGGAAGAUAGGGUGACUGGUCCAAGUGGCCUGCCCUACUGCCAGAUUUUGGAACUCCGAUGAUGCUCUUUCCCACCACACUGAUGCCUGCGACUGUUGUUGCUGCAUGGCCUGCACUGCUUCGGUGAGGCCUCUGACCUACUGAACCAGCAGGUCGAACUGCUCCA